AGAGUUUGGAUCCUGGCUCAGAUUGAACGCUGGCGGCAUGCUUUACACAUGCAAGUCGAGCGGCAGCGCGGGGGCAACCCUGGCGGCGAGCGGCGAACGGGUGAGGAAUACAUCGGAACGUACCCCGGAGUGGGGGAUAACGCCGCGAAAGCGGCGCUAAUACCGCAUAUGCUCUGAGGAGGAAAGUGGGGGAUUCGCAAGGACCUCACGCUCUGGGAGCGGCCGAUGUCGGAUUAGCUAGUUGGUGGGGUAAUGGCUUACCAAGGCGACGAUCCGUAGCUGGUCUGAGAGGAUGAUCAGCCACACUGGGACUGAGACACGGCCCAGACUCCUACGGGAGGCAGCAGUGGGGAAUUUUGGACAAUGGGGGCAACCCUGAUCCAGCCAUGCCGCGUGCGGGAAGAAGGCCUUCGGGUUGUAAACCGCUUUUAGUCGGGAAGAAAAGGUUAUCCCUAAUAAGGGUGACUCUUGACGGUACCGGCGGAAUAAGCACCGGCUAACUACGUGCCAGCAGCCGCGGUAAUACGUAGGGUGCGAGCGUUAAUCGGAAUUACUGGGCGUAAAGCGUGCGCAGGCGGUUCGUUAAGUUCGUUGUGAAAGCCCCGGGCUCAACCUGGGAACUGCAAUGGAAACUGGCGGGCUUGAGUAUGGCAGAGGGGGGUGGAAUUCCGCGUGUAAGCAGUCGAAAUGCGUAGAGAUGCGGAGGAACACCGAUGGCGAAGGCAGCCCCCUGGGCCAAUACUGACGCUCAGGCACGGAAAGCGUGGGAGCAAACAGGGAUUAGAUACCCUGGUAGUCCACGCCCUAAAACGAUUGCGAACUGGAACGUUUGGGUGGACUUAGCCACUCAAG
Molecule: ribosomal RNA, 852 nt
Filed under: uncultured beta proteobacterium
Lineage: Bacteria; Pseudomonadati; Pseudomonadota; Betaproteobacteria
Description: bacterial SSU rRNA
Rfam family: Bacterial small subunit ribosomal RNA
Source: RNAcentral